UUAUAUAUUACUAAAUCUUAAUUUCUUAAAUUUUUAAUAUUAAUUACUAUUUUCAUAAAUUAAAUA
This 66-nucleotide ribosomal RNA is filed under the name Cydia pomonella (codling moth). RNAcentral describes it as "partial 12S ribosomal RNA". The record is from RNAcentral. Lineage: Eukaryota; Metazoa; Arthropoda; Insecta; Lepidoptera; Tortricidae.